GACCGCGUAGCUCAGUUGGCAGAGCAUUGGGCUAGUAUUCCAAAGGUCGUAGGUUCGAUUCCCACCGGGGCCG
RNAcentral lists this transfer RNA (73 nucleotides) under Paramuricea clavata. It matches the Rfam family "tRNA". Rfam says of the family: Transfer RNA (tRNA) molecules are approximately 80 nucleotides in length. Their secondary structure includes four short double-helical elements and three loops (D, anti-codon, and T loops). Lineage: Eukaryota; Metazoa; Cnidaria; Anthozoa; Malacalcyonacea; Plexauridae. The record is from Rfam by way of RNAcentral.